UAAUCAUGUUAAUAAUGAUAAUUAUAUACUACUUACUAAAAGUUAAUUAUAUCCUUAAUUUGAUCCCUAGCAUAGAUUAUAACUAGAAGAUAACGUAUACUUGAAAUUUUGUUUGUAUAUGAAGACUUAUAAUAAGAGUUUAUUGUACUCUAAAAUAAUAAUUGAAUUAUUUUGAAACUAUUUAUGAGCUUAAAAGCAAAUAUAAUAUUACCUUCAAUAGUAAACAGUGUAUAUCUUUAGUACGUUAAAUGUUAGCUCAUAAACAGUAUAGGUAGAUUUAAUGUCAGUGAAAUGUAAAAGAACUUUAUCAGUUUAAAAAUGAUAGCAUUUGAGCGGUUUUUUGCACGCGACCAGCAAUUUAAUGUGCAUAUUUUAUGUCCGUUAUAAAAUGGGCAGAUCAGAAUAAGGUAAAAUAAUGUUCACAAUGGUAUACACAUGUGAAUACUUUUGUCUUUACUUGUGCCCGCAAAAAUUCAUGCCAUCGAUAAGAUCUAUGCUUUGCGAAAUAAAAUAAUAUAGAUAAAAAAAUUAUGUAGUUUAUUCACAUAAGACGUCUUAGAUACUGUUUUUCUUUUUACUAGUACAAGUUACUUCUAUUGUUUACAAAUAACAGAAGUAAUCGAAAAUUAUUAAGAAUUUAUUAAGGUUUUUGUUCUAAGAAAAUUCAUAUAAAAAGUGUGAGGUUGAGGUUCAAUAACGUCUUCAACCGUGUCAGUUUUAACCUUUAAAUAGACACAACCGAAGGAGAAGUUCUACUUCUAAUAUAAUAAAAAAAGUAUAUAUAUCAUAGUUGAAUUUAUGGUAAAGUCAUAUGCAAAAUUUUGUCGCACAUAUUUUUUCUUAUAUUUAAUUAAA
This is a long non-coding RNA of Daktulosphaira vitifoliae (grape phylloxera), 855 nucleotides long. RefSeq lists it as uncharacterized. The transcript has 3 exons. NCBI's taxonomy places the organism in Eukaryota, Metazoa, Arthropoda, Insecta, Hemiptera, Phylloxeridae. The record is from RefSeq and is a predicted model, not a curated record.